GACAGAGGAGCCAAGCGUUGUCCGGAUUGACUGGGCGUAAAGCGCACGCAGGCGACCCGGCGCGUGGGGUGUGAAAGCUGGCGGCUUAACUGCCAGACGCCAUCCCAUACGGCUGGGCUCGAGCCCUGCAGAGGUCCAUGGAAUUGCCGGUGUAGUGGUGAAAUGCGUAGAGAUCGGCAGGAACACCCAGGGGGAAACCAGUGGACUGGGCAGGAGCUGACGCUCAGGUGCGAAAGCGUGGGGAGCGAACCGG
Molecule: ribosomal RNA, 253 nt
Filed under: uncultured bacterium
Lineage: Bacteria
Description: partial 16S ribosomal RNA
Rfam family: Bacterial small subunit ribosomal RNA
Source: RNAcentral